AUACGGAGGAUCCGAGCGUUAUCCGGAUUUAUUGGGUUUAAAGGGUGCGCAGGCGGGAGAUUAAGUCGGCGGGGAAAUUUUGCAGAUCAACUGGAAAAGUGCCUUCGAUACUGGUUUUCUUGAGUGUGGGUGAAGUUGGCGGGAUUUUUGGGGGAGCGGGGAAAUGCUUAGAUAUCACGAGGAACUCCGAUUGCGCAGGCAGCUUACUAAACCACUACUGACGCUCAGGCACGAAGGCGUGGGGAUCAAACAGGAUUAGAUACCCUGGUAGUCCACGCAGUAAACGAUGAUUACUGGCUGUUUGCGAUACAAUGUAAGCGGCUGAGCGAAAGCGUUAAGUAAUCCACCUGGGGAGUACGUUCGCAAGAAUGAAACUCAAAUGAAUUGACGGGG
RNAcentral lists this ribosomal RNA (393 nucleotides) under uncultured bacterium. RNAcentral describes it as "partial 16S ribosomal RNA". It matches the Rfam family "Bacterial small subunit ribosomal RNA", at positions 523 to 918 of the family's 1533-position model. The record is from RNAcentral.